RNAcentral lists this ribosomal RNA (231 nucleotides) under uncultured bacterium. RNAcentral's name for it is "partial 16S ribosomal RNA". It matches the Rfam family "Bacterial small subunit ribosomal RNA", at positions 526 to 779 of the family's 1533-position model. The record is from RNAcentral.
CAAGUAAGACUAGUGUUAUUCAUCUUUAAUAGGUGUAAAGGGUGCCUAGACGGUAAAUUUAGCCCCUAAAGGGUACAGAUUUUACUAGAGUUUAGUUGUGAGAGGUAUAUAUUAGUACUGUUAGUGUAGAGAUAAAAUUCUUUGAUAGUAAUAGGCACCGAUAACGGCGAAAGCAGCCCUCUAUGCGAAAACUGACGUUGAGGGACGAAGGCUUGGGGAGCGAAUAGGAUU